GCCACACCAACCUCGAUCUUUCCACCCGGGCAGCCCGAAUUCCGAUCUUGCGGCCAAUAUUCCUGCCCAAGCGCGGCCGUAGAUGGUUCUAGAAUUCUUCCACGUGUCACCACCUAACCCUUAACUAUCUCACGCUCUGCAUUUCAUUUCUCUUCGUCUCUCCCACUUCCUCUAUAAGCCCAAAACCCUUCGCUUCUCUAUCUUCUCCGUGCUUUAGCUUCUGCAUACCCACAAGCUCAAAAGCUGAGUUAGGGUUUUAUCCUAAUUCUCCCCCAAUUUGUUGUUAGGAUUUUGAACAAGUUCAUUCUCCUGCUGUAAUUCCCAUUUCUAGAGGUAGAUUUUAUUAAAUCUAAUUCCAUACAAAAUCCUAGAGAAUGGCUUCUUCAACCGCUCAGAUUCACGUUCUAGGUGGUGUUGGGUUUUCUUCCUCUUCCUCGAGAAAACAUAGUUUUUCUUUUUCACAGAAGACUGUUUUCUUUGGUCAAAAUCUAAGGUCGCAAAAGGCGGCUUUUCUGAGAUGCAGUAACACUACAAGGAGAAGGUAUAGCACUGGCCCUUUGAGAGUAGUGAAUGAGAAGGUAGUGGGAAUUGACCUGGGUACCACCAAUUCUGCAGUUGCAGCAAUGGAGGGAGGGAAGCCGACGAUUGUGACAAAUGCAGAGGGUCAGAGGACUACACCUUCUGUUGUGGCAUACACAAAGAAUGGGGAUAGGCUUGUGGGGCAGAUUGCAAAGCGGCAGGCAGUGGUGAACCCAGAGAAUACUUUCUUCUCUGUGAAGAGGUUUAUUGGCAGAAAGAUGUCUGAAGUGGAUGAAGAGUCAAAGCAGGUUUCUUAUAAAGUAUUUAGGGAUGAGAAUGGAAAUGUUAAGUUGGAUUGCCCUGCAAUUGGUAAGCAGUUUGCUGCUGAGGAGAUUUCUGCUCAGGUUUUGAGGAAGCUUGUGGACGAUGCCUCAAAGUUUUUGAAUGAUAAAGUGACUAAAGCUGUGGUAACAGUGCCUGCAUACUUCAAUGAUUCCCAAAGGACAGCGACAAAAGAUGCUGGCCGAAUUGCUGGGCUGGAUGUUCUUCGAAUAAUCAAUGAACCCACUGCUGCUUCAUUGGCAUAUGGGUUUGAAAAGAAGAACAAUGAAACCAUCCUAGUAUUUGACCUUGGUGGUGGCACUUUUGAUGUUUCUGUGCUUGAGGUUGGUGAUGGAGUUUUUGAAGUGCUUUCUACUUCAGGAGAUACACAUUUGGGUGGUGAUGACUUUGAUAAGAGAAUUGUUGAUUGGCUUGCUAGUGACUUUAAGAGGGAUGAAGGCAUUGAUCUUUUGAAGGACAAACAAGCACUUCAGAGAUUGACCGAGACAGCUGAGAAGGCUAAAAUGGAGCUGUCAUCAUUGACUCAGACAAACAUAAGUUUGCCUUUCAUCACUGCUACUGCUGAUGGACCCAAGCACAUUGAGACCACACUUACAAGAGCCAAGUUUGAGGAGUUGUGUUCAGAUUUGCUUGACAGGCUUAAAACACCAGUCGAGAAUUCCUUGAGGGAUGCAAAACUCUCCUUUAAAGACCUUGAUGAGGUGAUACUUGUUGGUGGAUCAACACGAAUUCCAGCUGUACAGGAACUCGUGAAGAAAAUGACUGGGAAGGACCCGAAUGUCACUGUCAAUCCAGAUGAAGUAGUUGCCCUAGGUGCUGCAGUUCAGGUUGUCCUACUCCCUUAUAUUCUCAGUAGAAGAUUGUGUCCUGUAUUUCUUAUGUUUGUUUGCAAUAAUGCUCAUAGUUUAAUUUCUUUUGACAUUAUGGAAUCAUAGUUUGUAAGCUGAUGUAUUCCAUCCUCUUCCUUGUUGAGACUAGGCUGGUGUUUUAUCUGGAGAUGUCAGUGAUAUUGUGCUGUUGGAUGUAACACCAUUGUCACUUGGUCUGGAGACUCUUGGAGGGGUCAUGACAAAAAUCAUUCCCAGAAACACUACUCUGCCCACAUCCAAAUCUGAGGUAUUCUCAACUGCUGCAGAUGGACAGACAAGUGUUGAAAUUAAUGUUCUUCAGGGUGAGAGAGAGUUUGUCAGGGACAACAAGUCCCUUGGCAGCUUCCGCCUUGAUGGUAUCCCACCAGCACCGCGUGGAGUUCCUCAAAUCGAAGUUAAAUUUGACAUCGAUGCCAAUGGCAUUCUUUCUGUUACUGCUGUUGAUAAAGGUUCAGGGAAGAAGCAAGACAUCACAAUUACUGGUGCUAGCACCUUACCCAGUGAUGAGGUUGAAAGAAUGGUGAAUGAAGCUGAGAAAUUUGCAAAGGAGGACAAGGAGAAGAGAGAUGCCAUUGACACAAAGAACCAGGCAGAUUCUGUUGUCUACCAGACUGAGAAGCAGCUGAAAGAGCUAGGAGACAAGGUUCCAGCUCCAGUUAAAGAGAAGGUUGAGGCAAAACUCAAGGAGCUCAAGGAUGCAAUUGCAGGUGGAUCAACCCAAGGAAUGAAAGAUGCCAUGGCUGCCCUUAAUCAAGAAGUCAUGCAACUUGGUCAGUCGCUUUACAACCAACCAGGCGCAGGUGGUACUGGCCCUGCACCUGGAAGUGAAGCUGGACCAUCAGAUUCAUCAAACAAAGGACCUGAUGGAGAUGUUAUUGAUGCAGACUUCACCGAUAGCAAGUGAGAUGGCAAGAUAGUUGGCUAGUUUUUGAGCCCCUUCCUGGUGAUGUGCAUAAGAAAUUGGUUCUGCCUGGUUUAAGGAUUACUGCAUUUCCAGACAUUUUUGCUCUUUGGAGAGAGAAGAAUUGUUUUUAGGAAUAUAGAGGACCAAGCACCUAAUAGCAAACCCAUAAUAGUGCACUUUUUUGUUUUUUAAAUUAUAACAUUAUUUAGAUUUUAAUUAUGGCUUUGAUUAUUGCAAGUUUUGUUAUUAGUGCCAUAUCUUGGAGUUGCUUCAAUGGAUUUGCCAGUGAUCCAAUUAUAUAUAAAGUGAAUCCCCCUUUGAAGAACUCAUAGGAACCUUGCAUGAAUUGCAGUUGUAUGUUAAACUAAGAAGUUUGAAUUUUAGGUUCACUUGUAGCUUUAUGUUUGAAUGUUUUCGUGCCUGAAGACUGGAAUCUGGACUCUGGACCUAGGAAAAGGUUUUUGUAUUUUUUUGGUAGGAGAGGACUCGAACUUUGGUUGACUGGGUGAGAUCACGGACUGCAAUUAUCUUAGCUGCCUUUGUAUUCACUUUGAUAAUGCAGCCAGCGGAGGAUGGCGGUGAUACACCCCUAAGAUAUGCUUCACAGAACUUCUCCAGCCAUGGGCUUCUAUAGCGAUACUAAAGUAUAUAGAGAUGCGUAUUAUUUAUUUAUUGCUUAAAUAUAUAAAAUUUAUAAUUAUAAUUUCUCCAUUUCACAAAAAUAA
RNAcentral lists this unclassified non-coding RNA (3359 nucleotides) under Hevea brasiliensis (rubber tree). The record is from RNAcentral. Lineage: Eukaryota; Viridiplantae; Streptophyta; Magnoliopsida; Malpighiales; Euphorbiaceae.